ACAAUCCAAGAGGUUUGCAUUUAAGGA
This 27-nucleotide non-coding RNA is filed under the name Rattus norvegicus (Norway rat). The record is from RNAcentral. Lineage: Eukaryota; Metazoa; Chordata; Mammalia; Rodentia; Muridae.